CCCCUCAAUGCCAUAAACCAGUCAUUCAUAGAGAGACAGCUUAACCAAAUUACAUACCAGGAUUUGGAAAAGGAAGAGAGCUAUGAGUGACUGCCGCUGGAGCCUGGGGGGUUGUGCACCCAGUCAAGAAUGAUGAGGGACAAGCUGCCAAUCAUGAAGAUGACUCCCACCACGAGGAAGAUGGCCGCCUGCAGGGAGAGGACAGAGACAGGUCCAAAACGGUUAGACUGGAGGGAACACAAUGUUUAACACCUGUAGAGUGAUACAGUGAGAAAAAGACUAAGAAGAAGCAGGACUCACCGAUGAAGCCGAAGAUGUCCCUGAUGGUGGGCACAAAAAUGACCAAGAGGUUGUUGAAGACCAGGAUCCCAGCGGCGAUGAGCAUGUGUCUGAUCCAACUGA
Molecule: long non-coding RNA, 402 nt
Organism: Boleophthalmus pectinirostris (great blue-spotted mudskipper)
Lineage: Eukaryota; Metazoa; Chordata; Actinopteri; Gobiiformes; Gobiidae
Exons: 3
Source: RefSeq, a predicted model, not a curated record